Molecule: unclassified non-coding RNA, 173 nt
Filed under: uncultured Basidiobolus
Lineage: Eukaryota; Fungi; Basidiobolomycota; Basidiobolomycetes; Basidiobolales; Basidiobolaceae
Description: sequence contains ITS1
Source: RNAcentral
ACAAAUGUAAUCCAAUUACCAACCACACUGUGCACUGUUAACGUAUGCUUUGGUAGGGAGUGAAAUGGCGAGUGCUCUCGGGCGCUGGUCUUUCGAUCUGCCAGAGUUUUUUAAAUACUAAACAAACAAACGUCUUAUUAUCUGACUGAACUUCAUUUAAACAAAUGAAAAUA